Molecule: non-coding RNA, 73 nt
Organism: Myotis lucifugus (little brown bat)
Lineage: Eukaryota; Metazoa; Chordata; Mammalia; Chiroptera; Vespertilionidae
Source: Rfam
GCCAGUGUGGCUCAGUGGAUAGAGCGUCAGCCUGCAGACCAAAGGGUCCCAGGUUCCAUUCCUGUCAAGGGCA